AUUCCCACGGGUAAUGAGGUAAUUUGUAAAUAUCAAGAAUGGGAAUUCCCACGGGUAAUGAGGUCAUUUGUAAAUAUCAAGAAUGGGAAUUCCCGCGAGUAAUGAGGUCAUUUGUAAAUAUCAAGAAUGGGAAUUCCCGCGAGUAAUGAGGUCAUUUGUAAUUAUCAAGAAUGGGUAUUCCCGCGAGUAAUGAGGUCAUUUGUAAUUAUCAAGAAUGGGUAUUCCCGCGAGUAAUGAGGUCAUUUGUAAAUAUCAAGAAUGGGAAUUCCCGCGAGUAAUGAG
Molecule: long non-coding RNA, 282 nt
Organism: Myxocyprinus asiaticus (Chinese sucker)
Lineage: Eukaryota; Metazoa; Chordata; Actinopteri; Cypriniformes; Catostomidae
Exons: 4
Source: RefSeq, a predicted model, not a curated record